This 492-nucleotide ribosomal RNA is filed under the name uncultured bacterium. RNAcentral's name for it is "partial 16S ribosomal RNA". It matches the Rfam family "Bacterial small subunit ribosomal RNA", at positions 29 to 507 of the family's 1533-position model. The record is from RNAcentral.
AGUGAACGCUGGCGGUAGGCCUAACACAUGCAAGUCGAACGGCAGCACAGUAAGAGCUUGCUCUUACGGGUGGCGAGUGGCGGACGGGUGAGGAAUACAUCGGAAUCUACUUUUUCGUGGGGGAUAACGUAGGGAAACUUACGCUAAUACCGCAUACGACCUACGGGUGAAAGCAGGGGAUCUUCGGACCUUGCGCGAUUGAAUGGGCCGAUGUCGGAUUAGCUAGUUGGCGGGGUAAAGGCCCACCAAGGCGACGAUCCGUAGCUGGUCUGAGAGGAUGAUCAGCCACACUGGAACUGAGACACGGUCCAGACUCCUACGGGAGGCAGCGGUGGGGAAUAUUGGACAAUGGGCGCAAGCCUGAUCCAGCCAUACCGCGUGGGUGAAGAAGGCCUUCGGGUUGUAAAGCCCUUUUGUUGGGAAAGAAAAGCAGCAGGUUAAUACCCCGCUGUUCUGACGGUACCCAAAGAAUAAGCACCGGCUAACUUCGUG